GCCUUUGUGGUGUAGUGGUAAGCACACUCAACGCGUAACUGAGAAGUCCAUGGUUCGAUUCCCGAUGAAGGCA
RNAcentral lists this transfer RNA (73 nucleotides) under Stegodyphus mimosarum. It matches the Rfam family "tRNA". From Rfam's summary of the family: Transfer RNA (tRNA) molecules are approximately 80 nucleotides in length. Lineage: Eukaryota; Metazoa; Arthropoda; Arachnida; Araneae; Eresidae. The record is from Rfam by way of RNAcentral.